GCGCCGUGGUCUAGCGGUUAAGACGCCUGUCUAUUACCAUUCAAUUCAAAGCAGGAAACUGGGGGUUCGAUUCCCCUACGGUGCACCA
This 88-nucleotide transfer RNA is filed under the name Comamonas aquatica. Its description in RNAcentral is "tRNA-OTHER". It matches the Rfam family "tRNA". From Rfam's summary of the family: Transfer RNA (tRNA) molecules are approximately 80 nucleotides in length. Lineage: Bacteria; Pseudomonadati; Pseudomonadota; Betaproteobacteria; Burkholderiales; Comamonadaceae. The record is from RNAcentral.